GUUUCACUUGGUAGUCCAGGUUGGCCUCUAACUCAUGGAGAUCGUCCUUCCUCAGUCUACCAAAUUCUAGGAUUACAGUCCUGCCAGCCCCAUGGAUGACUCCCUUCGCCCCCAGGGAGUAAAGGAGGAAGCUACCUGGGCAAGAGGGAAGAAGGGAAGAGCAGCCGAAGCUUGUUGUGUAAUUCCUGGAACUCUUCAAAUGUCCGCUGGAUGACCCUUGACUCAGAGGGAAUUACCAUCCGGUUCCGCUCACCUGAGCAGCGGAGAAGCCAGUGGCCUGGAGCUGUUCCGGGCACACGAGGCUCGGCGAGGGCCAGUGCGCUCUGUGUGAGUAUGAAGAAAUAGAACCCCAGCAAGCUGAGUCAGGAGGGGGCAGGAAAAGCUCAGGGCAGAG
Heterocephalus glaber (naked mole-rat) is the source of this 394-nucleotide non-coding RNA. The record is from RefSeq and is a predicted model, not a curated record. Lineage: Eukaryota; Metazoa; Chordata; Mammalia; Rodentia; Bathyergidae.